GACGCACUCUCAGAGUUUGAUCCUGGCUCAGGAUGAACGCUGGCGGCGUGCCUAACACAUGCAAGUCGAACGGAGCUGAAAGGAAAGCGACUUCGGUCAAUUGAAUAGAAAGCUUAGUGGCGGAUGGGUGAGUAACACGUGAGCAACCUGCCUUACACAGGGGAAUAACAACGGGAAACCGUUGCUAAUACCGCAUAACAUAUACUAGAGGCAUCUUAGGUAUAUCAAAGGAGCAAUCCGGUGUAAGAUGGGCUCGCGUCCGAUUAGAUAGUUGGAGAGGUAACGGCUCCCCAAGUCGACGAUCGGUAGCCGGACUGAGAGGUUGAACGGCCACACUGGGACUGAGACACGGCCCAG
RNAcentral lists this ribosomal RNA (357 nucleotides) under uncultured bacterium. RNAcentral describes it as "bacterial SSU rRNA". It matches the Rfam family "Bacterial small subunit ribosomal RNA", at positions 1 to 334 of the family's 1533-position model. The record is from RNAcentral.